ACGAAGGGUGCAAGCGUUACUCGGAAUUACUGGGCGUAAAGCGUGCGUAGGCGGUUUGUUAAGUCCGUUGUGAAAGCCCUGGGCUCAACCUGGGAAUUGCAGUGGAUACUGGCGAGCUAGAGUACGGUAGAGGGGGAUGGAAUUCCGCGUGUAGCAGUGAAAUGCGUAGAUAUGCGGAGGAACACCGAUGGCGAAGGCAAUCCCCUGGACCUGUACUGACGCUCAUGCACGAAAGCGUGGGGAGCAAACAGGA
This 253-nucleotide ribosomal RNA is filed under the name uncultured prokaryote. RNAcentral's name for it is "partial 16S ribosomal RNA". It matches the Rfam family "Bacterial small subunit ribosomal RNA", at positions 525 to 777 of the family's 1533-position model. The record is from RNAcentral.